GAUGAACGCUGGCGGCGUGCUUAACACAUGCAAGUCGAACGGAAAGGCUCCUGCUUGCAGGGGUACUCGAGUGGCGAACGGGUGAGUAACACGUGGGUGAUCUGCCCUGCACUUCGGGAUAAGCCUGGGAAACUGGGUCUAAUACCGGAUAGGACCACAUUUUGGAUGGUGUGGUGGAAAGUUUUUCGGUGUGGGAUGAGCUCGCGGCCUAUCAGCUUGUUGGUGGGGUAAUGGCCUACCAAGGCGUCGACGGGUAGCCGGCCUGAGAGGGUGUACGGCCACAUUGGGACUGAGAUACGGCCCAGACUCCUACGGGAGGCAGCAGUGGGGAAUAUUGCACAAUGGGCGCAAGCCUGAUGCAGCGACGCCGCGUGGGGGAUAACGGCCUUCGGGUUGUAAACUCCUUUCGCUAGGGACGAAGCGUUUUUGUGACGGUACCUGGAGAAGAAGCACCGGCUAACUACGUG
RNAcentral lists this ribosomal RNA (467 nucleotides) under uncultured bacterium. Its description in RNAcentral is "partial 16S ribosomal RNA". It matches the Rfam family "Bacterial small subunit ribosomal RNA", at positions 28 to 507 of the family's 1533-position model. The record is from RNAcentral.